RNAcentral lists this ribosomal RNA (1451 nucleotides) under uncultured bacterium. RNAcentral's name for it is "bacterial SSU rRNA". It matches the Rfam family "Bacterial small subunit ribosomal RNA". The record is from RNAcentral.
GAGUUUGAUCCUGGCUCAGGAUGAACGUUGGCGGCAUGCUUAACACAUGCAAGUCGAACGAAGAGCUUCGGCUCUGAGUGGCGAACGGGUGCGUAACACGUAGGUGACCUGCCCAAAAGUGGGGGAUAACCAUUGGAAACGAUGGCUAAUACCGCAUGUGCUUGAAUUUCGGUUCAAGUAAAGCGUCUGGAAGCGCUUUUGGAGGGGCCUGCGGCCUAUCAGGUAGUUGGUGGGGUAAUGGCCUACCAAGCCAAUGACGGGUAGCUGACCUGAGAGGGUGGUCAGCCACAGGGGAACUGAGACACGGUCCCCACUCCUACGGGAGGCAGCAGUGAGGAAUAUUGCACAAUGGGCGCCAGCCUGAUGCAGCAAUGCCGCGUGCAGGAUGAAACCUUUCGGGGUGUAAACUGCUUUUGCAUGGGAGCAGCAAGGAGCGUACCAUGCGAAUAAGUCACGGCUAACUACGUGCCAGCAGCCGCGGUAAGACGUAGGUGGCAAACGUUAUCCGGAAUUACUGGGCGUAAAGGGUCCGUAGGCGGUCUUUUAGGUCUGACGUGAAAGCCCAUGGCUCAACUGUGGGAUGCCGUUAGAAACCAAAAGACUAGAAUUGCUUCGAGGUCGGCGGAAUUCCCGGCGUAGUGGUGGAAUUGCGUAGAGGUCGGGAGGAAACGCCAAAUGCGAAAGGCAAGCCGGCUAGGAGACCGAUUGACGCUGAGGGACGAAAAGCGUGGGUAGCCAACAGGAUUAGAUACCCUGGUAGUCCACGCCGUAAACGAUGUGUGCUAGGUAUGUGAGUUUAAAAGCUUGCGUGCCAAAAGCUAACGCGUUAAGCACACCGCCUGGGGAGUACGGCCGCAAGGCUAAAACUCAAAGGAAUUGACGGGGGCCCGCACAAGCAGCGGAGCGUGUGGUUUAAUUCGAUGCAACGCGAAGAACCUUACCAGGGCUUGACAUUUGAGUAGUAGAUGCGAGAAAUCAAUUCGACCUUCGGGAGCUCAAACAGGUGCUGCAUGGUUGUCGUCAGCUCGUGUCGUGAGAUGUUGGGUUAAGUCCCGCAACGAGCGCAACCCCUAUCGUUAGUUUUAUGUGUCUAGCGAGACCGCCCUGUCAAAGGGGAGGAAGGUGGGGACGACGUCAAAUCAGCAUGGCCUUUAUGUCCUGGGCGACUCACACGCUACAAUGGCGCGUACAAUGGGUAGCUACACGGCGACGUGAUGCGAAUCUCCAAAGCGCGUCUCAGUUCGGAUUGGAGUCUGCAACUCGACUCCAUGAAGGCGGAGUUGCUAGUAACCGCGCGUCAGCCAUAGUGCGGUGAAUGCGUUCCCGGGCCUUGUACACACCGCCCGUCACGUCAUGGAAGUUGGUAACGCCUGAAGUCGGGUAGCUAACCGCAAGGAAGCGCCUGCCGAGGGUGGGACUGGUAACUGGGACGAAGUCGUAACAAGGUAGCU